ACGGCCGGAUCACGUGAGGUCUCCGUGGCGACCCAACCCCGACGGAAGGUGACGGCGCCGCUUGCUGGACCGAGGGAGUUCCUGCGAUCAGAGCUCAAGAUGCAGGGUGAAGAUUUCGCCUGAGAUCUCUCCAGGAACUCUUAAAGAGACCUCAAUUACAGAUGAAUGGAUAAAGAAGAUGUGGCACAUAUAUACAAUGGAAUAUUACUCAGCCAUAAAAAGGAACGAAACUGAGUUAUUUGUAGUGAGGUGGAUGCACCUAGAGACUGUCAUACAGAAUGAGGAUUAUGAAUCAUCCUUGGGACCUGUGUUUCAUUCUCAACCGAGGAGAUGGAGAGAAUCCUUGCUGCCCCUUCUGAGGGAGACUCUUUCAGCGUCACCUGGAACCGUGACCAUUUUAAAGGCCCAAGUCAGAGCCCUAGCUGGAUUUUCCAACCUCUCCCAUUGAACUGCAGCACAACAGGUCAGUCACUUGAUUGGUCGGUCCUUCCCUGUGUGUGAGAUCUGAUCAGAAAUACUUGAUCGGGAAUGGUCAGACUAGAGCUGGGCUGAGUUUCUUAAAGCAGAUCCCAGUAUCUCCACUAUCAGGAUUUGAGGAUUCCUGAAAUUAAAUUCCAUGUACACUGUUAUGAGAAUGUAUGAGGUGGAGGAUAUUUUAUUUGCUGUUAUGUAAAUUUUCAG
Molecule: long non-coding RNA, 681 nt
Organism: Balaenoptera acutorostrata (minke whale)
Lineage: Eukaryota; Metazoa; Chordata; Mammalia; Artiodactyla; Balaenopteridae
Exons: 3
Source: RefSeq, a predicted model, not a curated record